Long non-coding RNA from Coccinella septempunctata (seven-spotted ladybird), 321 nucleotides. RefSeq lists it as uncharacterized. The transcript has 2 exons. The record is from RefSeq and is a predicted model, not a curated record. Lineage: Eukaryota; Metazoa; Arthropoda; Insecta; Coleoptera; Coccinellidae.
CAGACUCCAUAAAGGAACCUGUUCAAAUAAUAGAGGAACCUCAACCCAGUAUUGCAGCCACUCCUCAAAUUGAAAAGCAGAAAGACAACAUAACACUCACUCCAAAAUCCACAAAAAUGGAUUCCAAGAGUGGAAUGUUUUAUUUGAGGAAGAAGCUGGCUGAAAUUGAGACUGCCCGUGUCAACGAAAUCAAACUUCUUCGGGAAGCACUUGAAAGACACAAUGAAAUUCAAGAACGAAGAAAUGAAAUUUUAGAAAAUUUUUUUAAUUCUUCAAAAAAACAAUAAUGUAUUUUCUAAAUAAAAUAUUUAUAAUAACAUA